Molecule: ribosomal RNA, 464 nt
Filed under: Vreelandella stevensii
Lineage: Bacteria; Pseudomonadati; Pseudomonadota; Gammaproteobacteria; Oceanospirillales; Halomonadaceae
Description: partial 16S ribosomal RNA
Rfam family: Bacterial small subunit ribosomal RNA
Source: RNAcentral
CCUACGGGUGGCAGCAGUGGGGAAUAUUGGACAAUGGGCGAAAGCCUGAUCCAGCCAUGCCGCGUGUGUGAAGAAGGCCUUCGGGUUGUAAAGCACUUUCAGUGGGGAAGAAAGCCUUGGGGCUAAUACCCUCGAGGAAGGACAUCACCCACAGAAGAAGCACCGGCUAACUCCGUGCCAGCAGCCGCGGUAAUACGGAGGGUGCGAGCGUUAAUCGGAAUUACUGGGCGUAAAGCGCGCGUAGGCGGUCUGAUAAGCCGGUUGUGAAAGCCCCGGGCUCAACCUGGGAACGGCAUCCGGAACUGUCAGGCUAGAGUGCAGGAGAGGAAGGUAGAAUUCCCGGUGUAGCGGUGAAAUGCGUAGAGAUCGGGAGGAAUACCAGUGGCGAAGGCGGCCUUCUGGACUGACACUGACGCUGAGGUGCGAAAGCGUGGGUAGCAAACAGGAUUAGAUACCCUGGUAUC